Molecule: ribosomal RNA, 484 nt
Filed under: uncultured bacterium
Lineage: Bacteria
Description: partial 16S ribosomal RNA
Rfam family: Bacterial small subunit ribosomal RNA
Source: RNAcentral
AUUGAACGCUGGCGGCAGGCCUAACACAUGCAAGUCGAGCGGAUGAAGGGAGCUUGCUCCUGGAUUCAGCGGCGGACGGGUGAGUAAUGCCUAGGAAUCUGCCUGGUAGUGGGGGAUAACGUCCGGAAACGGGCGCUAAUAACGCAUACGUCCUGAGGGAGAAAGUGGGGGAUCUUCGGACCUCACGCUAUCAGAUGAGCCUAGGUCGGAUUAGCUAGUUGGUGGGGUAAAGGCCUACCUAGGCGACGAUCCGUAGCUGGUCUGAGAGGAUGAUCAGUCACACUGGAACUGAGACACGGGCCAGACGCCUACGAGAGGCAGCAGUGGGGAAUAUUGGACAAUGGGCGAAAGCCUGAUCCAGCCAUGCCGCGUGUGUGAAGAAGGUCUUCGGAUUGUAAAGCACUUUAAGUUGGGAGGAAGGGCAGUAAGUUAAUACCUUGCUGUUUUGACGUUACCAACAGAAUAAGCACCGGCUAACUUCGUG